UACAGAGGGUGCUAGCGUUGUUCGGAAUCAUUGGGCGUAAAGAGCUCGUAGGCGGCUUGUCACGUCGGGUGUGAAAGCCCGGGGCUUAACCCCGGGUCUGCAUUCGAUACGGGCUAGCUAGAGUGUGGUAGGGGAGAUCGGAAUUCCUGGUGUAGCGGUGAAAUGCGCAGAUAUCAGGAGGAACACCGGUGGCGAAGGCGGAUCUCUGGGCCACUACUGACGCUGAGGAGCGAAAGCGUGGGGAGCGAACAGG
Molecule: ribosomal RNA, 253 nt
Filed under: uncultured bacterium
Lineage: Bacteria
Description: partial 16S ribosomal RNA
Rfam family: Bacterial small subunit ribosomal RNA
Source: RNAcentral